Molecule: non-coding RNA, 1060 nt
Organism: Ceratotherium simum simum (southern white rhinoceros)
Lineage: Eukaryota; Metazoa; Chordata; Mammalia; Perissodactyla; Rhinocerotidae
Source: RefSeq, a predicted model, not a curated record
UUUGCCUUCGCUUUGCAGGAAAGAACAAAUAGUGUGUUUAGGUAUUGAAAAAGUUUAUUGAAAACACAGUACUAGGAGUUGGGGACACAAUGGUGAGCAAAACACGGUUCCUCGGGAAGCUUACAUAGUUGGAGGAGAUGUCAUCACAAAUGUAAAACUGUGAGACAAACCCCACACAUGACAGGAUUUGACCAAAUCAGGGAAACCUGAGAACACAGCGUUGAGACUAAAGGGUAGGUAUCACUUUUGCAAGGCAAAGUUGGGGGCAUGGCAUAUGCAGAGUACUUGGGCUAGAAAAAGGAUAUGACUGCAUGUCGGGAUUUGUGACAGUUGUAGCUGCUUUCCCUACAAAGUACCCUCAUUUAGACAAGAGUGCUUAAUAAGGCUUGUAAGAUGGCCAUUCUGGGAACUCAGUGUUACAAAAUGAGGCUGAACAGGUAAGAGGCCAGACCACUCACAGCUCUGUUUAAAGCAAGGGGAAAUCUGGUAGUUCACAUUUGCAAGAAAAGGGAUGCAGGUAAGCCAAUUGGAAGUGACUGCAGUUGUCUAGGCAAGACAUGACCAUCUUGGACCAGUGUGGUGAUUAGGAGAUGAAUUGAGGACGUUGGCUGUAGAUAAUCCUUGCAAGAAAUUCAGAAUGAGAGAUGGUAGCUGGAGAGGGAUUUAUGGUUGUGAAAGUUGGUUGGCUUAUUUUAGAUGGCAGUCUUAAGUUUAAAACCAAGUGGUAAGGAUCUAGCUGAGAGGAAGAGAUUGAAUAUAUUAAUACAGGGAACAGCAGGGACAAGAAAACUGAAGGAGAUAGGGUCCACAGUACAGGUAGAGGGACAGGAGGAAAGGAUUAGGGUUGAUGGCAGCCAAGUAGCGGUUGGUUUGUGGUAAGGGGAAGAUGAAAGAUGUCCUGCAUGAGUAUUUCUGUUUUCCCUGUAAAGUAGACUGCAAAGGCAUCUGCAGAGAGGAAAGGUCUGCAGUAGGGGAGAGUUAAGAGCCACGCAGGAUGGAGGGACCAUUUCAGGUUGAAGGUCAUGAAUUUAUAAGCUGAGGUCAAAUGAAAUCCACACAC